This 200-nucleotide ribosomal RNA is filed under the name uncultured bacterium. RNAcentral's name for it is "partial 16S ribosomal RNA". It matches the Rfam family "Bacterial small subunit ribosomal RNA", at positions 28 to 245 of the family's 1533-position model. The record is from RNAcentral.
GAUGAACGUUGGCGGUGUGCCUAACACAUGCAAGUUGAGCGUGGCAUUAGUUUACUAAUGUCUAGCAGCGGACGGCUGAGUAAUGCACAGGAACGUACCUCGAAGUGGAGGAUAGCCCAUCGAAAGAUGGGGUAAUACUGCAUGUGAUCGUAAGAUCAAAGCCGCAAGGUCGCUUCGAGAGCGGCCUGUGUCCUAUCAGG